RNAcentral lists this ribosomal RNA (696 nucleotides) under uncultured bacterium. RNAcentral's name for it is "bacterial SSU rRNA". It matches the Rfam family "Bacterial small subunit ribosomal RNA", at positions 32 to 715 of the family's 1533-position model. The record is from RNAcentral.
AACGCUAGCUACAGGCUUAACACAUGCAAGUCGAGGGGGAACGAUAUUGGAAGCUUGCUUCCGAUAGGCGUCGACCGGCGCACGGGUGAGUAACGCGUAUCCAACCUGCCCACCACUUGGGGAUAACCUUGCGAAAGUAAGACUAAUACCCAAUGAUAUCUCUAGAAGACAUCUGAAGGAGAUUAAAGAUUUAUCGGUGAUGGAUGGGGAUGCGUCUGAUUAGCUUGUUGGCGGGGUAACGGCCCACCAAGGCGACGAUCAGUAGGGGUUCUGAGAGGAAGGUCCCCCACAUUGGAACUGAGACACGGUCCAAACUCCUACGGGAGGCAGCAGUGAGGAAUAUUGGUCAAUGGGCGAGAGCCUGAACCAGCCAAGUAGCGUGCAGGAUGACGGCCCUAUGGGUUGUAAACUGCUUUUAUAAGGGAAUAAAGUGAGCCUCGUGAGGCUUUUUGCAUGUACCUUAUGAAUAAGGACCGGCUAAUUCCGUGCCAGCAGCCGCGGUAAUACGGAAGGUCCGGGCGUUAUCCGGAUUUAUUGGGUUUAAAGGGAGCGUAGGCCGGAGAUUAAGCGUGUUGUGAAAUGUAGAUGCUCAACAUCUGCACUGCAGCGCGAACUGGUUUCCUUGAGUACGCACAAAGUGGGCGGAAUUCGUGGUGUAGCGGUGAAAUGCUUAGAUAUCACGAAGAACUCCGAUUG